CCUACGGGAGGCAGCAGUGGGGAAUUUUGGACAAUGGGCGCAAGCCUGAUCCAGCAAUGCCGCGUGAGUGAAGAAGGCCUUCGGGUUGUAAAGCUCUUUUGUCAGGGAAGAAACGGGUGUGGCUAAUAUCCAUGCCUAAUGACGGUACCUGAAGAAUAAGCACCGGCUAACUACGUGCCAGCAGCCGCGGUAAUACGUAGGGUGCAAGCGUUAAUCGGAAUUACUGGGCGUAAAGCGUGCGCAGGCGGUUUUGUAAGUCUGUCGUGAAAUCCCCGGGCCCAACCUGGGAAUUGCGAUGGAGACUGCAAGGCUAGAAUCUGGCAGAGGGGGGUAGAAUUCCACGUGUAGCAGUGAAAUGCGUAGAGAUGUGGAGGAACACCGAUGGCGAAGGCAGCCCCCUGGGUCAAGAUUGACGCUCAUGCACGAAAGCGUGGGGAGCAAACAGGAUUAGAUACCCUGGUAGUCCACGCCCUAAACGAUGUCUACUAGUUGUCGGGUUUUAAUUAACUUGGUAACGCAGCUAACGCGUGAAGUAGACCGCCUGGGGAGUACGGUCGCAAGAUUAAACUCAAAGGAUUGACGGCUGAGACGNGCGAGACGACGACGAGGGAGGAGG
Molecule: ribosomal RNA, 616 nt
Filed under: uncultured bacterium
Lineage: Bacteria
Description: bacterial SSU rRNA
Rfam family: Bacterial small subunit ribosomal RNA
Source: RNAcentral